Molecule: long non-coding RNA, 1150 nt
Filed under: Serinus canaria (Common canary)
Lineage: Eukaryota; Metazoa; Chordata; Aves; Passeriformes; Fringillidae
Description: lncRNA (ENSSCAG00000008231.1)
Source: RNAcentral
GAGAGAAGAAUCAAGCUCAAAGAAGAUGACCGGGAACAUCUCUAGUAUCCUUGGGGAAGAUCCAUGUCAUUCACAUAAGUGUAAAACUAGAACAAGAAUCAGACCAAACCACCACUGUGAUUGCUCACACUGCUGGGAAAUCCAGGCAUUUGGCAGAGGUUCAAUUUAUGCAGCUGCUGCAGAUAUACCUCUGGAUUGUCUGAUUUGGUCUCUGCUUUACCAAACUCCAAACAAUCACUGUGAUUCAAUUAUUGCUGCUUUGAAUCUCUUGAAAACUGUGAGCUGGCCUCAGAAUCUCAAUUUUUUCAUCCUGUGUAAUCCCUGGAGUGAAAACUCUCUUCUUCAACAUAUAAAUCCACAGGAAAAAAAUUGACAUGAAAGAAAACUCGCUGAGGGAAUUUUGCUUUGAAGAUCAGCACAUAUUUAGCCUGGAAAGCAGAGAUUGCUUACAAUUGUGGUGAGCAAGCAAGUUGUGCAUUUUGUUGGUAGACCGGGCUUUUCUUUGUCUUAGAAAAUUUUUUGAAGAGCAGAUGCAAAUGUGUUGGUGUAUAUUUAUAUUUAUGUAAGGAUGCAUAUUUAUAUAUUUUUUUGUGCUGUUGACAUUUUCUCCUUUUGGUCCUAGGCAGAACUCCUGACAAAUCUUGUUCACUUUGUAAGCUUCUUCCAUCUCUGAUGUUUCUCCCACUUCUUUCUCCUCCUUUGGGCUUUGGCAAUGUGACAAACAACCUUCUGGCCCAGAGCUUUCUCACUGCCACACUUUUUACAGGCUGUUCUUUUUCUUUUUCUGGCUACUUGAGUCAUUGCCAAGCAGUAGCAAGAACUGUGAGAGCUUGGGACUGGAAAGUGUAUGGUUUUAAUUGUGGAAUAAGCUGCUUUCAAUCCUCUGCACUGAGUGGGAAAGCGAAUCGUGGUGGAAAAUGCUGUGUAAAAACAUAAAUGGUGCAAACUCCUUGCAGUGCAAGGCUUGAGCUACUCAGCAUUUUGUCAGGCAGCAGCUGAACUUCUUUAAGCUCUUUAGUAGCCCUGCUCACACAAUUAAGUCUGGACCUCAGAGUUUUGUUUAGCACUCAGGAGUCCUGAAAUGGUGAAUUUAAGAUCAUAUCCCAUCCAUUUGGCUGUGGUGGGUUAACCCAGCUGUGCCUGGAUUCCA